RNAcentral lists this ribosomal RNA (500 nucleotides) under uncultured bacterium. Its description in RNAcentral is "partial 16S ribosomal RNA". It matches the Rfam family "Bacterial small subunit ribosomal RNA", at positions 30 to 523 of the family's 1533-position model. The record is from RNAcentral.
AUUGAACGCUGGCGGAAUGCUUUACACAUGCAAGUCGAACGAUGAACCUUAGCUUGCUAAGGGGAUUAGUGGCGAACGGGUGAGUAAUGUAUCGGAACGUAUCCAAUAAUUGGGGAUAACUAGUCGAAAGAUUAGCUAAUACCGCAUACGUACUACGGGAGAAAGAUAGGGACCUUCGGGCCUGGCGUUAUUGGAGCGGCCGAUAUCUGAUUAGCUAGUUGGUGGGGUAAAGGCUCACCAAGGCGACGAUCAGUAGCUGGUCUGAGAGGACGACCAGCCACACUGGAACUGAGACACGGUCCAGACUCCUACGGGAGGCAGCAGUGGGGAAUUUUGGACAAUGGGCGAAAGCCUGAUCCAGCCAUUCCGCGUGAGUGAAGAAGGCCUUCGGGUUGUAAAGCUCUUUCGCAAGGGAAGAAAACUUAAGCUCUAACAUAGCUUGAGGUUGACGGUACCUUGAUAAGAAGCACCGGCUAACUACGUGCCAGCAGCCGCGGUAA